Molecule: ribosomal RNA, 253 nt
Filed under: uncultured bacterium
Lineage: Bacteria
Description: partial 16S ribosomal RNA
Rfam family: Bacterial small subunit ribosomal RNA
Source: RNAcentral
UACAGAGGGGGCAAGCGUUGUUCGGAAUUACUGGGCGUAAAGGGCGCGUAGGCGGCGUGCUAAGUCGAACGUGAAAUCCCCGGGCUCAACUCGGGAACUGCGUCCGAGACUGGCAGGCUUGAAUCCGGGAGAGGGAUGUGGAAUUCCAGGUGUAGCGGUGAAAUGCGUAGAUAUCUGGAGGAACAUCGGUGGCGAAGGCGGCAUCCUGGACCGGUAUUGACGCUGAGGCGCGAAAGCCAGGGGAGCAAACGGG